AUUUGGGACUUGGAGGGAAGGGGUGCACAGCCAGGCUCCUCUGCCUGCGGGGAGGGAGUCUUUUUGGUUUCUGGUGGCUGGAACCACUGAAGUCUAUAAACGUGCAUGACCCUGGCCAGAUUUCAGGAGCGAUCCUAAGCAGGUCUGAGAAUCCCAAUGAAGUUUUUCAGUGGGGCUUACUUCUAGGGAAGUGCCUCGCCACAAAGGCCGCUUGUUGGGCAAAGCAUUGAGCUCAAUGGGAAUAACUUUUAAUUAUUGCGUACUAUUGCAUACAUUUUUAUUUCCCCUGUGUGGUAUGUCCCAUUGCUGUGUUCAGAUUUGUGAGUUGGGGCAUGUUCUAUAAUGUGGUGGUGAUUUUGAGUUAACUGGUGCAAAAAAGUCAUUCUUUGGUAGUGGUGGAGGGCAGCUGCCCAUACGGGGGGAGGGGGGCGCAAAACUCAGAUUUCACCCCUGGCUCCGUUUUUCCUAGUUACACCUCUGCUCAGGUGAGAGUUUCUAACUCCAUACUUGCCACAGUUCAUGAGAAGGUGCACAGUUUCUCAUUUCUUCCAAACAUGAUUGAUGCUGUUUUGCCUGGUUUCUUGGAGAGGUGGCAUAGAAUUUUUUUUAAGUACCUACACAGUAAACAAAUAUUUCAUCUUUUAAAAAAUUACUUAAAAUAUAAAUUGAUUAUUACUUUUUAAAAAAUCCUUCUGCCACAUUGAAUGAAUUAUGAUUAGUUGUAUUCUCAGAUGUCUAGUUAAGGCCAUAAAAGUUGUAAAAGUCCCUUUUUCUGAAAGCAAGACCAUUCCUGUUAAACUGAGCUGUGAAUCCCCUUCUGUUGGAAUAUUUUGCACUUAUUUGGUCACUUAAUGACAGCUUCACUUAUGACUCCAUGUUAGCCAGUAUUCCACUUUCCCAGAUCACUCCCUGAGACCUUUCGUUCUUGGCAAUACAUAAUACAGUUGCCUCCGAUAUUUGGACCUACAAUGAAGGAUAAGUCUCUGUCCUUAUUCUGCCACUUCAAACUGAAAACAGGGGCUUAUAUUAUUAUACCCCUCUGUACAAAAUUUUUCCCUCCAUCUAGAAAAGCUAGGUAGCAGGAAAGACAAGUCUGCUUCUAGCUUUCCCCUUAGGUGUGCUGGUUUUCUGGUAUUGUUUUGGUGUGGAGGAAGAGUCAACUGUACAACCCCCCUCUCCCCCAAGCAGUAUGAAGUACUCCAAUCCAGACACUGUUUUACUACCUCAGUGAGACUCAAGCUUUGAGGUCUAUGAUUCCAAAUUUGUUUUAUGGACAUGAACACUUUCCUUGGUUAUCACACAGAACCAACUAAAGGCAUAUUUUGGCAGAAACUGUUAAGUUGCAUUUCUUAGAAAACAAAUGUGCCUGUUCGUGUUUCCAGUACUAAGACGUUCUAUAAAUUGUUGCUGGGGAGAAAUAGGAAGUGAAGUUUUAAUUUGGUCUCUGGCCAAUUCUAGUAAAAACUGAACUAGUGGCAGCUGAAAUUCAGCCAUGUAGAAUUUGCUUUUCCUUUUUGUACCAUGUGGAGUACCUGGUAAUUUCCCACUACAUGGCAGCAAACAGCUUAUCGCAUUUUACAUGCCAUGUUGUGAAGUACCACUUUUGAAUCACUUCACAUGAAAGACUUUCACAUAGUGAGUUUCUACAGAAUUAGGUUUCAACUAAUUACUGCAUCCUUAUUUGUUUAUUUGAAUAGCUCUUCAGCUGAGUUUCCAUGAGAAGAUAACGCUGUUGAGUCUUUGGAAGGAUUAUUCCUCUAGAAUUAACAUCCUACCACUCAACAGACAGUUUGAAACCUUUCUCCAAUCCCCUUGUAGCUUCGCCUCUGUAUUGAACUCUCUGUAUUUUGGCCGUUGUGUCUACCAUGUACUUGAGAGUCUUACUUAAUUCCUUCAGUGUCCUUAUCAAGAACUUGUUUAAUACCAAGGGACUGAUGGAAAGCAUUUGCAAAUGCAAUUUUUUUUCCUGCCCUACUGAGCAUAUAAAGUAUGCUGAGCAUAUAAAGAAUUCUGAAAAGUUUAUGUUGAAAAAGGCUACAGUGCAGAUAGAUGGGCCAACUGAAGCUGGCUUCAGUUGGCCCAUCUUCCCCCAUGGGUACUUGUAGACAUAAGAGAGUGUGUUGUCAUAAAAGCAAGGUGGGGUAAAUUUCACCCAACUUCCCAUUCUCACUGCACAACUUAGGUUCCAUGGCCUUUGUACACCAGACUUCUGUGUAUACCCUGUGACCUCUAACAUCAGCUUAUUUCUAUUAUCUUUCCUUGCUGGGGGAAAUGGGUAGAUGGGUAACAGAAGCUUUUGCAAGGACUUUCCAUUGGUGGUUGCUUAGAUCCAACUCAAAAUCUUUUCAUAUAAAUCCAGGGGGAAAAGUAUAAAAACAUCUGUAUCUUGCACACUUAACCGGAAUAUCAGAAACCAUUUUACAACAUACUCUAGUCAAACAAACAUUUGGGAUAAUUCACUUUACAGUAGGUUUACCAUGUCAAAAGUCUAUUUAUGGCAUUUUGACCCAUCCUCUUUGCUCUUUUUAUUCUCAGAAUAAUCUUGACUAGUAGGUUAGAUCAAGUGGUAGCUGACAAGGUUGCCCACUAAACAUUUUGCCUGAGAAGAAAACCGAAUCUGGGCAUGCCCUAAGUCCAGCACUUCAGCUGUUACAUCACAAGGGCUCAUCGGUAAGGCAAAUAGAUGAAGUAAUAAUAAUACAUGUUUCCCUGAAAAGGACAUAAUUAUUCGAUGUGACACUGCAGAUGUUGAGAUGACUAUUAGACCAAUAAUGACAUGGUGAUAAAGCACUUGAGAUUUGUAAAACUGCUUUUGUAAAAUUGGUGAUAUAGUCUGUGCUCUUUGCUGAUCUAGUUUUAAAAAAUGUGUCGGUGAAUGUUUUUUGAAUUUCCAUUACAGGAUCUAUAUAGAAUGCAGAAGGAAUGACACCCUCUGCGUGUGCUGCCCCAUAUUGUGUGCCUGGUCUCAGUGUAGAUGACUGAUUGAGUCUGUUUCUGCAAGUGAACCAACUAGACCAGGGGUUCCCUACCCCUGAACUAGACGUUCAUUUGAGGCCAUUGUUUUAACAUAUGAAAUCGUGGUGUCAUUCAACAGCAAUGGUCUUAAAUCACACAGUAAUGUUCUGUGCAGUGUUGCAAAGCUUCAUACAGAGAAAAGCACUUCUCAUGACUGCAGGAGCUAUAAAUGGGAUUCCAAAUAAGAGACUUUCAUUAAAAUUGGCAUUCUCCUGCUGUUUCCUUAUUCCAUGCUGCUUGUAUCUCUACAGAACAUUUCUCUCCCUCCCCUUCUUUCCCCCCUUGUUUGCCCUGAAAUUUUGUAAACCCAUUUUUGUUUCUUUUUUACACUCUUUUCAACCAGAUGAAACUUACUGUUAAUAAAACUAUCUUCUUUAA
Sphaerodactylus townsendi is the source of this 3393-nucleotide long non-coding RNA. RefSeq lists it as uncharacterized. The transcript has 2 exons. NCBI's taxonomy places the organism in Eukaryota, Metazoa, Chordata, Lepidosauria, Squamata, Sphaerodactylidae. The record is from RefSeq and is a predicted model, not a curated record.